UUAUGCUCCAAGGGCAACAGCACUGGGAUUCGUUGGAACUGCUGCUAACUUGGGGGCGUCCCUGGCUCCUCUUUUUAUGAUGCUCACAAUAUACUAUGCCUCAUUGCCCUGGAUCAUCUAUGGAGUCCUCUCCAUUCUCUCUGGCCUUCUUCCCCAUCUUCUUCCUGAGACCAAGAAUCAGCCUCUGCCUGACUCCAUCCAAGAUGUGGAAAAUGAGUGUAAAAGGUCAAGACAAGCAAGACAAGAAGAUGCCAUCAUCAAAGUGACACGGUUUUAAUGGAACUCCAGGAAUUGGCCUCUGAUCAAACAGCAAAAUAAAGAAAAUGUCACUUAGA
Long non-coding RNA from Meriones unguiculatus (Mongolian gerbil), 335 nucleotides. RefSeq lists it as uncharacterized. The record is from RefSeq and is a predicted model, not a curated record. Lineage: Eukaryota; Metazoa; Chordata; Mammalia; Rodentia; Muridae. The transcript is spliced from 2 exons.